RNAcentral lists this small nucleolar RNA (141 nucleotides) under Bombyx mori (domestic silkworm). RNAcentral describes it as "Bm_63". Lineage: Eukaryota; Metazoa; Arthropoda; Insecta; Lepidoptera; Bombycidae. The record is from RNAcentral.
AGAUCCCUCUGAUAAGCCUUACUUUACAUAUAGUUAAUAUGUGUAUUGUCACGAAUUGAGGGUAAAUUAAAUUAUCCCGAAGGAAACAUUGAUCCUGAAAUUUUGAAAGGGUCAGUGUGUCGACAUGUGGAUGACAUUUUU